GACGAACGCUGGCGGCGUGCUUAACACAUGCAAGUCGAACGGAAAGGCCCUGCUUUUGUGGGGUGCUCGAGUGGCGAACGGGUGAGUAACACGCGAGUAACCUGCCCUUGUCUUUGGGAUAACUCCAGGAAACAGGGGCUCAUACCGGAUAGGAGCUCCUGCUGCACGGUGGGGGUUGGUAAGUUUCGGCGGUUGGGGAUAGACUCGCGGCUUAUCCGCUUGUUGGUGAGGUAGUGGCUUACCAAGGCUUCGACGGGUAGCCGGCCUGAGAGGGUGACCGGCGACAUUGGGACUAAGAUACGGACCAGACUCCUACGGGAGGCAGCAGUGGAAAGUAUUGCGCAAUAAGGGGAAGCCAGAUGCAGCGGCGCCGCGAGCGGGAUGACGGCUUUCGGGUUGAGAACCGCUUUCGCCGGUAACGAAGCCUGAGUGACGGUAAUGGAUAAAGAAGCACCGGCUAACUACGUG
RNAcentral lists this ribosomal RNA (468 nucleotides) under uncultured bacterium. RNAcentral's name for it is "partial 16S ribosomal RNA". It matches the Rfam family "Bacterial small subunit ribosomal RNA", at positions 28 to 507 of the family's 1533-position model. The record is from RNAcentral.